AUUGAACGCUGGCGGCAGGCCUAACACAUGCAAGUCGAACGAGUGGCGGAUGGGUGAGUAAUGUCUGGGAAACUGCCCGAUGGAGGGGGAUAACUACUGGAAACGGUAGCUAAUACCGCAUACCAUCGGAUGUGCCCAUAUGGGAUUAGCUAGUAGGUGGGGUAACGGCUCACCUAGGCGACGACCCCUAGCUGGUCUGAGAGGAUGACCAGCAACACUGGAAUGGUGACACGGUCCAGACUCCUACGGGAGGAAGCAGUGGGGAAUAUUGCAAAAUGGGCGCAAGCCUUAUACAGCCAUGCCGCGUGUAUGAAGAAGGCCUUCGGGUUGUAAAGUACUUUCAGCGAGGAGGCGUUACUCGCAGAAGAAGCACCGGCGAACUCCGUGCCAGCAGCCGCGGUAAUAC
This 406-nucleotide ribosomal RNA is filed under the name uncultured bacterium. Its description in RNAcentral is "partial 16S ribosomal RNA". It matches the Rfam family "Bacterial small subunit ribosomal RNA", at positions 30 to 526 of the family's 1533-position model. The record is from RNAcentral.